UUCGGCAGCCAUAUCACCCUGCAGCCCAAGACUGGUUGCCCAUUGAAGCUAAGCAGGGUUUAGCUGGUCAGUACCUGGAUGGGAGACCUCCUGGGAAAACUAGGUUGCUGCUGGAA
Ribosomal RNA from Sinocyclocheilus rhinocerous, 116 nucleotides. The record is from Ensembl. Lineage: Eukaryota; Metazoa; Chordata; Actinopteri; Cypriniformes; Cyprinidae.